CAGCAAUCUUCAAGUGAAGACUCUUGGCUUUCUUCUUCAUCUUGUACAAUCUGCGUCCUAAUAUCAACAUUCCCAUGAGAGCAGCAGCCACAGAAAAGGACCAAGCAGGGCUAGCCCUUAAAAAGCAGUACCUCAAAACCUGAAAAGGAACCUUCCACCACACAACCCUCCUCCUCUGUGCUUCUAACUCACUAGAUUUUG
This 201-nucleotide unclassified non-coding RNA is filed under the name Hevea brasiliensis (rubber tree). Lineage: Eukaryota; Viridiplantae; Streptophyta; Magnoliopsida; Malpighiales; Euphorbiaceae. The record is from RNAcentral.